UACGUAGGGGGCUAGCGUUGUCCGGAAUCAUUGGGCGUAAAGCGCGUGUAGGCGGCCCGGUAAGUCCGCUGUGAAAGUCCAGGGCUCAACCCUGGAAAGCCGGUGGAUACUGCCGGGCUAGAGUCCGGAAGAGGCGAGUGGAAUUCCUGGUGUAGCGGUGGAAUGCGCAGAUAUCAGGAGGAACACCGAUGGCGAAGGCAGCUCGCUGGGACGGUACUGACGCUGAGGCGCGAAAGCGUGGGGAGCAAACAGG
RNAcentral lists this ribosomal RNA (253 nucleotides) under uncultured bacterium. RNAcentral describes it as "partial 16S ribosomal RNA". It matches the Rfam family "Bacterial small subunit ribosomal RNA", at positions 524 to 776 of the family's 1533-position model. The record is from RNAcentral.